RNAcentral lists this ribosomal RNA (710 nucleotides) under Cryptosporidium cf. bovis G3. RNAcentral's name for it is "SSU rRNA". It matches the Rfam family "Eukaryotic small subunit ribosomal RNA", at positions 259 to 1016 of the family's 1831-position model. The record is from RNAcentral. Lineage: Eukaryota; Apicomplexa; Conoidasida; Eucoccidiorida; Cryptosporidiidae.
ACUUUACGGAUCACAUUAUGUGACAUAUCAUUCAAGUUUCUGACCUAUCAGCUUUAGACGGUAGGGUAUUGGCCUACCGUGGCUAUGACGGGUAACGGGGAAUUAGGGUUCGAUUCCGGAGAGGGAGCCUGAGAAACGGCUACCACAUCUAAGGAAGGCAGCAGGCGCGCAAAUUACCCAAUCCUAAUACAGGGAGGUAGUGACAAGAAAUAACAAUACAGAACCUUACGGUUUUGUAAUUGGAAUGAGUUAAGUAUAAACCCCUUAACAAGUAUCAAUUGGAGGGCAAGUCUGGUGCCAGCAGCCGCGGUAAUUCCAGCUCCAAUAGCGUAUAUUAAAGUUGUUGCAGUUAAAAAGCUCGUAGUUAAUCUUCUGUUAAUUUUUAUAUAUAAUAUCUCGAUAUUUAUAUAAUAUUAACAUAAUUCAUAUUACUUUUUAGUAUAUGAAACUUUACUUUGAGAAAAUUAGAGUGCUUAAAGCAGGCUAUUGCCUUGAAUACUCCAGCAUGGAAUAAUAUUAAGGAUUUUUAUUCUUCUUAUUGGUUCUAGAAUAAAAAUGAUGAUUAAUAGGAACAGUUGGGGGCAUUUGUAUUUAACAGUCAGAGGUGAAAUUCUUAGAUUUGUUAAAGACAAACUACUGCGAAAGCAUUUGCCAAGGAUGUUUUCAUUAAUCAAGAACGAAAGUUAGGGGAUCGAAGACGAUCAGAUACC